RNAcentral lists this ribosomal RNA (468 nucleotides) under uncultured bacterium. RNAcentral's name for it is "partial 16S ribosomal RNA". It matches the Rfam family "Bacterial small subunit ribosomal RNA", at positions 28 to 507 of the family's 1533-position model. The record is from RNAcentral.
GACGAACGCUGGCGGCGUGCUUAACACAUGCAAGUCGAACGGAAAGGCCCUGCUUUUGUUGGUUGCUCGAGUGGCGAACGGGUGUGUAACACGUGAGUAACCUGCCCUUGACUUUGUGAUAACUUCAGGAAACUGGGGCUCAUACCGGAUAUGAUCUCCUGCUGCAUGGUGGGGGUUGGAAAGUUUCGGCGGUUGUGGAUGGACUCGCGGCUUAUCAGCUUGUUGGUGGGGUAGUUGCUUACCAAGGCUUUGACGGGUAGCCGGCCUGAGAGGGUGAACGGCCACAAGGGGACUAAGAGACGGCCCAGACGCCAACGGGAGGCAGCAGGGGGGAGUAUUGCACAAUGGGCGGAAGCCUGUGGCAGAAACGCCGCGAGCGGGAUAACGGCUUUCGGGUUGAAAACAGAUGUCGACUGUGACGAAGAGUGAGUGACGGUAAUGGGUAAAGAAGCAACGGCUAACUACGUG